UUUUAACUUCUUCACUUUGUUGCUUGGCUUUCCAUUUAUUUGCCCUGUUCUUCAGGAAGGCUCCUGAAAUCACAUCAAAACUAAAAGAUAAUGAUCCCAAACAAAGAUUAUUACAAAGAGAAAUUCCGUUUGCCAGAAAAGAAAAGUUCCAAAACAGAUAUUAAUUUUUUUUUUCUUUUACCCCAGUUUACAAUCAGAAGACUUUUGAGAAAGUCAAAUCAUACCUACUUGCAUGUUGCAAUAAUGAAUCAAGACUCUGACCAACAAAUGCAUCUCUUGAGAGUAAAAUUGAAUGACCAAGACUAGGAAGUGCUUCUCCUAAGAAUUAAAGUGAAAAAUUCUGACUAGAAAGUGUGUCUUCUAGAGAUAGAAUUUUAAAUUAAAAAGUGUGUCACUUAACAAAUGAGAACUAACAAGGAAGUGCGUCUCAUAAGGAUUAAGUGCAAUGACUCGACUAGAAAGUGCAUUUUCUAGAAAUCAAGGAGAAUAACUCGAUUAAAAGGUAUGCUUUAUAGGAAUCAAGGGGGAUGACUCGACAAAAAUGUACGUCUUAUAGGGGUCAAGGGGAAUGACUCUACUAAAAGGUACGUCUUAUAGGAAUGAAAGGGAGAUGACUCGACUAAAAGGUACAUCUUAUAGGAAUCAAGGGGGAUUACUCAACUAAAAGGUACGUCUUAUAGGAAUCAAAGGGAGAUGACUCGACUAAAAGGUACGUCUUCUAAGGGUCAACGGAAAUGACUCAACUAAAAGGUACGUCUUCUAGGGAGCUGUCACACCCCAUUUUUAAUUCCAAAAAGAUUUAUUUUAAGUUUCAAAAGGGUUUUUAUUAUUAAAGUGACAAAAAUGAAGAUUUCGUUUCAAGAAAGGAUUAUUUAUAUUUUUUAUUCAGAGUCGCCACUUGACAUAAAUUGGGUGUGCCAAGUCACCCAUGGAUAUCCUUUUCAAAAUAAUUUGACUCUUUAAACUGAUUUGUCAACAGAGAUUCCGACUAAGGAAUUCUGUUAACCAAGGGAAGGUGUUAGGCACCCCUUGAUCCUGUGGUUCAACCACGGUCACUUGGUGGAGCAUAUCGGCUAGUUUAACACUACGAAUUUAUAAACCACAGAAAAACACGCAAAACAAUCAAACAAACAAACAAAAACAAAACGAAUAAAAAAUAUAGUGUCCAGUCCAAUUAUACAGUCCCGAAUACUAUAUGCAAAAAAUGUAAACCUAUUCUAUUCUAAACUAUCCCUAAACUACUCUUGAAUGACACUCUGCCCGGCUUUCGGGCCUUGACUGUGCGCCGUCUUCAAGUACAUGAUACUUUGGGGCAUUCCCCAGUGAGUAAAUACAACUCCUUCGGGGCAUUCCCUAACAAGUGAAUACAAUUUUCAAUUUCAUGAGAUAAAUUAGAAAAGCAUUUAACACAUUCAAUAUUCCACGCAUUCGAUCCAACAUCAUUCCUAAAUUUGCCUACCCGAACCUAAACUUUUGCCUAUUCCUUUGAUGGCCUAAUCAUAAUACUACCACAUUCGACCUUCGUAUUUGUUCCAAAAUAACCAAUGACAGUAAACCACGACUAAACAAAAUUCAUUUUAUCCAUUUCUAUCAUCCAACCCCCCGCAUUCCUUUUUAACACCAAAUUUCAACAAAUUCAAGAUUACUAUUUCAACAAUCCACAACCAUCUAUUCAAUGAAGCCGAGAAACACAAAUCAAUAUCACCUAAUAUUCAACCAAAUCAAACACAUAUGACGAAAUAAAAUAAGAAACGAUAGAAUUGAACCUUGUUUCAUGCUUUACUACGAAUCUGUUUACUUUUCUCUAUUUUCUAUUACUUGUGGGGGUCGUAUUUAUGUUAUGCCAUCUUGUUCCAUGAUUUACUAUGUAUUUGUGUAGUAUUCCGUGUCUCGAUCCGGGCAACCUUUCUACUUCAUUAGAGGUAGAAGUAUGGACUGCGCACAUCUUACCCUCCCCAGACCUCACUAUGUGGGAAUACACUGGGUUUGUUGUUGUUGUUGUUGUAAUAAUAUUCAAGAAAAUCUGAAUUUGAAAUCCCGAACAGAAAACCUCAACGACGAACCCCAACUCGAUAAAGCCUUCACUAUUUCUCUCCAAAAACGAACCAAAAUUGAGAAAUAAUAGAGACCCAGAUCCAAAAUAAAUUCGAACAUAGAACCUGCGAAAACAGUGAACCCCAAAACCAAAACAAUUAUAAGAAUAUGAAGGAAACCUGCACAGAUGAAGUUCCGACGAGUGCUGGCAGCAGCGAAAAAACUGGAAGUGACCCUAAAUGUUCAAUUCCGGCGACGGGUUCAUCGGAAAAGAUUAAGGAAUGACUGGAUUUUGCUCCGAUUUCGCUGCUUCCCGCUGAAAUAUCAAGGCCCUGCCAUUUUUGAUCCCAUCCUUACUAAGCGUAUGUAUGUUUUCAAUAAGGGAGUGGAUUCUCCAGUGAGCUAUGAGCGUGUGUAUGCUUGGUUUUCAUUUGUGUUGAGAGUGAGGAUCUGUGAGGUGUUAACUAUGGCGUCUCUGUGUGUGGCGUGAGAGUGAAUCCCAAAAACAAGAAAGAAUAAAGGAGAUAGAUGAUGGUCCGUGUAUUGCUACUCUCUUCCUUCAAAAUAAAAAUGGAGCCCCCCUUGUUUAUGUGAAGAUGAUGAAGAAAAAAAGGAAUCCGAUGAGCUGUGUCUUCAUCCUCCCUUAGAUAUUGACCUGUGUAUGUGAGUAUUAUUGGAGAUGAUUGAGAAUCUCUCCCCAAAUUCAUGCUCUUCGUUUUUGGAAAAAUUUCCAAGCCCCCUCUG
This 2778-nucleotide long non-coding RNA is filed under the name Capsicum annuum. RNAcentral describes it as "long non-coding RNA (CANN_LNC007390)". The record is from RNAcentral. Lineage: Eukaryota; Viridiplantae; Streptophyta; Magnoliopsida; Solanales; Solanaceae.